RNAcentral lists this ribosomal RNA (1257 nucleotides) under metagenome. Its description in RNAcentral is "bacterial LSU rRNA". It matches the Rfam family "Bacterial large subunit ribosomal RNA", at positions 1634 to 2880 of the family's 2925-position model. The record is from RNAcentral.
UUACACGACCGUACCGCAAACCGACACUGGUGCGCGAGAUGAGUAUUCUAAGGCGCUUGAGAGAACUCAGGAGAAGGAACUCGGCAAAUUGACACCGUAACUUCGGAAGAAGGUGUGCCUUUAGUAGGUGAACCAUUUACUUGGGGAGCCCAAUGAGGCUGCAAAAAAUCGGUGGCUGCAACUGUUUAUUAAAAACACAGCACCCUGCUAAGACGAAAGUCGACGUAUAGGGUGUGACGCCUGCCCGGUGCUGGAAGAUUAAAUGAUGGGGUGCAAGCUCUUGAUUGAAGUCCCAGUAAACGGCGGCCGUAACAAUAACGGUCCUAAGGUAGCGAAAUUCCUUGUCGGGUAAGUUCCGACCUGCACGAAUGGCGUAAUGAUGGCCACACUGUCUCCUCCUGAGACUCAGCGAAGUUGAAAUGUUUGUGAUGAUGCAAUCUCCCCGCGGAAAGACGGAAAGACCCCAUGAACCUUUACUGUAGCUUUGUAUUGGACUUUGAACAGAUCUGUGUAGGAUAGGUGGGAGGCUUUGAAGUGUGGUCGCUAGAUCGCAUGGAGCCAACGUUGAAAUACCACCCUGGUGUGUUUGAGGUUCUAACCUAGGUCCAUUAUCUGGAUCGGGGACAGUGCAUGGUAGGCAGUUUGACUGGGGCGGUCUCCUCCCAAAGCGUAACGGAGGAGUUCGAAGGUACGCUAGGUACGGUCGGACAUCGUGCUAAUAGUGCAAUGGCAUAAGCGUGCUUAACUGCGAGACUGACAAGUCGAGCAGAUGCGAAAGCAGGACAUAGUGAUCCGGUGGUUCUGUAUGGAAGGGCCAUCGCUCAACGGAUAAAAGGUACUCUGGGGAUAACAGGCUGAUACCGCCCAAGAGUUCAUAUCGACGGCGGUGUUUGGCACCUCGAUGUCGGCUCAUCUCAUCCUGGGGCUGUAGCCGGUCCCAAGGGUAUGGCUGUUCGCCAUUUAAAGAGGUACGUGAGCUGGGUUUAAAACGUCGUGAGACAGUUUGGUCCCUAUCUUCCGUGGGCGCUGCAGAUUUGAGGAAGCCUGCUCCUAGUACGAGAGGACCGGAGUGGACGAACCUCUGGUGUAUCGGUUGUCACGCCAGUGGCAUUGCCGAGUAGCUAAGUUCGGAAGAGAUAACCGCUGAAAGCAUCUAAGCGGGAAACUCGUUUCAAGAUUAGAUCUGCCGGGGCCUUGAGCCCCCUAAAGAGUCGUUCAAGACCAGGACGUUGAUAGGUCAGGUGUGGAAGCUAAAAA